RNAcentral lists this unclassified non-coding RNA (240 nucleotides) under soil metagenome. RNAcentral's name for it is "partial contains 5.8S ribosomal RNA, internal transcribed spacer 2, and large subunit ribosomal RNA". The record is from RNAcentral.
AACCAUUCUCACCUGCGGCUAGACCUGCGGAAGGAUCAUUACCGAGUGUGAACCCCCCCGUAAAAAAGAGGGGUUACCUCCCGUCCUUUGCUGGGAACCCCUUUCCAACUUGGAAGGAGGUUGUUUUCAGACCCUUCUGCUUCGGUGGGGUAACCCACCGGAACAACCUCAAAAAUAUUCUCAAUUCAAAACCGUUCAGUCCGAGAACUUUUUUGAAAAGCGAAAAAACUUUUAACAAUG